CCUACGGGAGGCAGCAGUGGGGAAUAUUGGGCAAUGGGCGCAAGCCUGACCCAGCAACGCCGCGUGAAGGAAGAAGGCGUUCGGGUUGUAAACUUCUUUUAAGAGGGAAGAGCACAAGACGGUACCUCUUGAAUAAGCCACGGCUAACGACGGGACAGCAGCCGCGGUAAUACGUAGGUGGCAGGCGUUGUCCGGAUUUACUGGGGGUAAAGGGCGUGCAGCCGGGAAGACAAGUCAGAUGUGAAAGCCCGCGGCUCAACCGCGGAACUGCAUUUGAAACUGUUUUUCUUGAGUACCGGAGAGGUCAGCGGAAUGCCUUGUGUAGCGGUGAAAUGCGUAGAUAUAAGGAAGAACACCAGUGGCGAAGGCGGAUGACUGGAAGGCAACUGACGGUGAGGUGCGAAAGCGUGGGGAGCAAACAGGAUUAGAUACCCUAGUAGUC
RNAcentral lists this ribosomal RNA (442 nucleotides) under uncultured bacterium. RNAcentral describes it as "partial 16S ribosomal RNA". It matches the Rfam family "Bacterial small subunit ribosomal RNA", at positions 338 to 795 of the family's 1533-position model. The record is from RNAcentral.